This 1018-nucleotide ribosomal RNA is filed under the name Bacillus subtilis. RNAcentral's name for it is "bacterial SSU rRNA". It matches the Rfam family "Bacterial small subunit ribosomal RNA", at positions 60 to 1055 of the family's 1533-position model. The record is from RNAcentral. Lineage: Bacteria; Bacillati; Bacillota; Bacilli; Caryophanales; Bacillaceae.
AGUCGAGCGGACAGAUGGGAGCUUGCUCCCUGAUGUUAGCGGCGGACGGGUGAGUAACACGUGGGUAACCUGCCUGUAAGACUGGGAUAACUCCGGGAAACCGGGGCUAAUACCGGAUGGUUGUUUGAACCGCAUGGUUCAAACAUAAAAGGUGGCUUCGGCUACCACUUACAGAUGGACCCGCGGCGCAUUAGCUAGUUGGUGAGGUAACGGCUCACCAAGGCAACGAUGCGUAGCCGACCUGAGAGGGUGAUCGGCCACACUGGGACUGAGACACGGCCCAGACUCCUACGGGAGGCAGCAGUAGGGAAUCUUCCGCAAUGGACGAAAGUCUGACGGAGCAACGCCGCGUGAGUGAUGAAGGUUUUCGGAUCGUAAAGCUCUGUUGUUAGGGAAGAACAAGUACCGUUCGAAUAGGGCGGUACCUUGACGGUACCUAACCAGAAAGCCACGGCUAACUACGUGCCAGCAGCCGCGGUAAUACGUAGGUGGCAAGCGUUGUCCGGAAUUAUUGGGCGUAAAGGGCUCGCAGGCGGUUUCUUAAGUCUGAUGUGAAAGCCCCCGGCUCAACCGGGGAGGGUCAUUGGAAACUGGGGAACUUGAGUGCAGAAGAGGAGAGUGGAAUUCCACGUGUAGCGGUGAAAUGCGUAGAGAUGUGGAGGAACACCAGUGGCGAAAGCGACUCUCUGGUCUGUAACUGACGCUUAAGGAACCAAAAGCGUGGGGGAACCGAACAGGAUUAGAUACCCGGGUAGUCCACGCCGUAAACCAAUAAGUGCUAAUGUUAGGGGGUUUCCGCCCCUUAAUGCUGCAGCUAACGCAUUAAGCACUCCGCCCGGGGAGUACGGUCGCAAGACUGAAACUCAAAGGAAUUGACGGGGGCCCGCACAAGCGGUGGAACAGGUGGUUUAAUUCGAAGCAACGCGAAGAACCUUACCAGGUCUUGACAUCCUCUGACAAUCCUAGAGAUAGGACGUCCCCUUCGGGGGCAGAGUGACAGGUGGUGCAUGGUUGUCCU